Molecule: ribosomal RNA, 579 nt
Filed under: uncultured bacterium
Lineage: Bacteria
Description: bacterial SSU rRNA
Rfam family: Bacterial small subunit ribosomal RNA
Source: RNAcentral
UUGAUCAUGGGCUCAGGAUGAACGCUAGCGGCAGGCUUAAUACAUGCAAGUCGAGGGGCAGCAGUUUUGUAGCAAUACAGAAGCUGGCGACCGGCAAACGGGUGCGGAACACGUACGCAACCUUCCUCUAACUGGAAGAUAGCCCACCGAAAGGUGGAUUAAUAUUCCAUAGUAUAUUGAAAAGGCAUCUUUUUGAUAUUAAAGCUCCGGCGGUUAGAGAUGGGCGUGCGUCUGAUUAGGUAGUUGGCGGGGUAACGGCCCACCAAGCCUACGAUCAGUAGCUGAUGUGAGAGCAUGAUCAGCCACACGGGCACUGAGACACGGGCCCGACUCCUACGGGAGGCAGCAGUAAGGAAUAUUGGUCAAUGGACGCAAGUCUGAACCAGCCAUGCCGCGUGGAGGAUGAAGGCCCUCUGGGUUGUAAACUUCUUUUCUUUGGGACGAAACCCCUGUUUCUACGGGGACUGACGGUACCAGAGGAAUAAGCACCGGCUAACUCCGUGCCAGCAGCCGCGGUAAUACGGAGGGUGCAAGCGUUAUCCGGAUUCACUGGGUUUAAAGGGAGCGUAGGUGGGCUUU